GCAUAUCAAUAAGCGGAGGAAAAAGAAACCAACAGGGAUUGCCCCCAGUAACGGCGAGUGAAGCGGCAACAGCUCAAAUUUGAAAUCUGGCUCUCGGGCCCGAGUUGUAAUUUGUAGAGGAUGCUUUUGGCGAGGUGCCUUCUGAGUUCCCUGGAACGGGACGCCAGAGAGGGUGAGAGCCCCGUAUAGUCGGACACCUAGCCUCUGUAAAGCUCCUUCGACGAGUCGAGUAGUUUGGGAAUGCUGCUCAAAAUGGGAGGUAUAUCUCUUCUAAAGCUAAAUAUAGGCCAGAGACCGAUAGCGCACAAGUAGAGUGAUCGAAAGAUGAAAAGCACUUUGAAAAGAGGGUUAAAUAGCACGUGAAAUUGUUGAAAGGGAAGCGCCUGUGACCAGACUUGUGCCGGGCUGAUCAUCCACCGUUCUCGGUGGUGCACUCGACCCGGCUCAGGCCAGCGUCGGUUCUCGUAGGGGGAUAAAAGCUUCGGGAACGUGGCUCCUUCGGGAGUGUUAUAGCCCGUUGCUUAAUACCCUUGUGGGGACCGAGGUUCGCGCUCUGCAAGGACGCUGGCAUAAUGGUCAUCGGCGACCCGUCUUGAAACACGGACCAAGGAGUCGAGGUUUUGCGCGAGUGUUUGGGUGUAAAACCCGCACGCGUAAUGAAAGUGAACGUAGGUGAGAGCUUCGGCGCAUCAUCGACCGAUCCUGAUGUAUUCGGAUGGAUUUGAGUAAGAGCGUAUAGCCUCGGACCCGAAAGAUGGUGAACUAUGCCUGAAUAGGGUGAAGCCAGAGGAAACUCUGGUGGAGGCUCGCAGCGGUUCUGACGUGCAAAUCGAUCGUCAAAUUUGGGCAUGGGGGGCGAAAGACUAAUCGAACCAUCUAGUAGCUGGUUACCGCCGAAG
RNAcentral lists this ribosomal RNA (899 nucleotides) under Coniochaeta mutabilis. RNAcentral describes it as "LSU rRNA". It matches the Rfam family "Eukaryotic large subunit ribosomal RNA", at positions 38 to 966 of the family's 3401-position model. Lineage: Eukaryota; Fungi; Ascomycota; Sordariomycetes; Coniochaetales; Coniochaetaceae. The record is from RNAcentral.